AGUGAACGCUGGCGGUAGGCCUAACACAUGCAAGUCGAACGGCAGCACAGUAAGAGCUUGCUCUUACGGGUGGCGAGUGGCGGACGGGUGAGGAAUACAUCGGAAUCUACUUUUUCGUGGGGGAUAACGUAGGGAAACUUACGCUAAUACCGCAUACGACCUACGGGUGAAAGCAGGGGAUCUUCGGACCUUGCGCGAUUGAAUGAGCCGAUGUCGGAUUAGCUAGUUGGCGGGGUAAAGGCCCACCAAGGCGACGAUCCGUAGCUGGUGUGAGAGGAUGAUCAGCCACACUGGAACUGAGACACGGUCCAGACUCCUACGGGAGGCAGCAGUGGGGAAUAUUGGAGAAUGGGCGCAAGCCUGAUUCAGCCAUACCGCGUGGGUGAAGAAGGCCUUCGGGUUGUAAAGCCCUUUUGUUGGGAAAGAAAAGCAGCAGGUUAAUACCCCGCUGUUCUGACGGUACCCAAAGAAUAAGCACCGGCUAACUUCGUG
This 492-nucleotide ribosomal RNA is filed under the name uncultured bacterium. Its description in RNAcentral is "partial 16S ribosomal RNA". It matches the Rfam family "Bacterial small subunit ribosomal RNA", at positions 29 to 507 of the family's 1533-position model. The record is from RNAcentral.